UACGAAGGGUGCAAACGUUGCUCGGAAUCAUUGGGCGUAAAGCGCACGUAGGCGGCCCCAUAAGUCGGAUGUGAAAUCCCUCGGCUCAACCGAGGAAGUGCAUCCGAAACUGCGGGGCUCGAGUAUGGAAGAGGGUCGCAGAAUUCCCGGUGUAGAGGUGAAAUUCGUAGAUAUCGGGAGGAAUACCAGUGGCGAAGGCGGCGACCUGGGCCAAUACUGACGCUGAGGUGCGAAAGCGUGGGGAGCAAACAGG
Molecule: ribosomal RNA, 253 nt
Filed under: uncultured bacterium
Lineage: Bacteria
Description: partial 16S ribosomal RNA
Rfam family: Bacterial small subunit ribosomal RNA
Source: RNAcentral